AGCAGCCGCGGUAAUUCCAGCUCCAAUAGCGUAUAUUAAAGUUGUUGCAGUUAAAAAGCUCGUAGUUGAACUUCGGGGUCUACCCAUUGGUCAGGCUUAAUUGUCUGCACUGGUGAGAUGGAUCUCUACCUUCUGAGGAACUUUCAUGCCAUUUAUUUGGUGUGAUGGGAAAUCAGGACUGUUACUUUGAAAAAAUUAGAGUGUUUAAAGCAGACUAUCGUCUGAAUACAUUAGCAUGGAAUAAUGAAAUAGGACGGACUGAUUCUAUUUCGUUGGUUUCUAGGAUCACCGUAAUGAUUAAUAGGGAUAGUUGGGGGCACUAGUAUUCAAUUGUCAGAGGUGAAAUUCUGGAUUUAUUGAAGACUAACUACUGCGAAAGCAUUUGCCAAGGAGUUUUGCAAUUAAUCAAGAACGAAAGUUAGGGGAUCGAAGACGAUCAGAUACCGUCGUAGUCUUAACCAUAAACUAUGCCGACUAGGGAUCGGACGAAGUUAAUUUUA
This 500-nucleotide unclassified non-coding RNA is filed under the name uncultured Diversispora. RNAcentral describes it as "SSU rRNA". It matches the Rfam family "Eukaryotic small subunit ribosomal RNA", at positions 569 to 1071 of the family's 1831-position model. Lineage: Eukaryota; Fungi; Glomeromycota; Glomeromycetes; Diversisporales; Diversisporaceae. The record is from RNAcentral.